This 135-nucleotide small RNA is filed under the name Tolypothrix sp. RNAcentral describes it as "c-di-AMP sequence". It matches the Rfam family "c-di-AMP riboswitch aptamer (ydaO/yuaA leader)". From Rfam's summary of the family: This family represents a conserved RNA structure found upstream of the ydaO and yuaA genes in Bacillus subtilis and related genes in other bacteria. The record is from RNAcentral. Lineage: Bacteria; Bacillati; Cyanobacteriota; Cyanophyceae; Nostocales; Tolypothrichaceae.
AAUAGUGGGUAGCCUAAUUCAAAUUCGUCAUUUUUUGGAUUUGAAGCGGAGGAACCAAUGUUUGGGGCUAAUCUUUAUGAGAGACACCUUCCAGUCUUAGCCCGUCAGCUAACUCCGUCGGCAGUGGAAGGAACC